GCCCGUCACACCAUGGGAGUGGGUUGCUCCAGAAGUAGCUAGUCUAACCGCAAGGGGGACGGUUACCACGGAGUGAUUCAUGACUGGGGUGAAGUCGUAACAAGGUAGCCGUAGGGGAACCUGCGGCUGGAUCACCUCCUUAAUCGAAGAUCUCAGCUUCUUCAUAAGCUCCCACACGAAUUGCUUGAUUCACUGGUUAGACGAUUGGGUCUGUAGCUCAGUUGGUUAGAGCGCACCCCUGAUAAGGGUGAGGUCGGCAGUUCGAAUCUGCCCAGACCCACCAAUUGUUGGUGUGCUGCGUGAUCCGAUACGGGGCCAUAGCUCAGCUGGGAGAGCGCCUGCUUUGCACGCAGGAGGUCAGGAGUUCGAUCCUCCUUGGCUCCACCAUCCAAACAAUCGUCGAAAGCUCAGAAAUGAAUGUUCGUGAAUGAACAUUGAUUUCUGGUCUUUGCACCAGAACUGUUCUUUAAAAAUUCGGGUAUGUGAUAGAAGUAAGACUGAAUGAUCUCUUUCACUGGUGAUCAUUCAAGUCAAGGUAAAAUUUGCGAGUUCAAGCGCGAAUUUUCGGCGAAUGUCGUCUUCACAGUAUAACCAGAUUGCUUGGGGUUAUAUGGUCAAGUGAAGAAGCGCAUACGGUGGAUGCCUUGGCCCCACA
This 655-nucleotide unclassified non-coding RNA is filed under the name Pseudomonas aeruginosa. RNAcentral's name for it is "partial contains 16S ribosomal RNA, 16S-23S ribosomal RNA intergenic spacer, and 23S ribosomal RNA". The stretch from base 1 to 142 matches the Rfam family "Bacterial small subunit ribosomal RNA", at positions 1392 to 1533 of the family's 1533-position model. The record is from RNAcentral. Lineage: Bacteria; Pseudomonadati; Pseudomonadota; Gammaproteobacteria; Pseudomonadales; Pseudomonadaceae.